This is a non-coding RNA of Chelonoidis abingdonii (Abingdon island giant tortoise), 287 nucleotides long. The record is from RefSeq and is a predicted model, not a curated record. Lineage: Eukaryota; Metazoa; Chordata; Testudines; Testudinidae.
GAGGGUGGGAGACAUGGGCUGCAGCGGCACUCAGUGAUCCUACUGCCGUUCCUGAAGCUCCACCAGAUGCCAGAGCAUGUCUGUUUGAUCCCACAGUAACCCCCAGCGUUGCUUCAUGCCUCCUCUGAUCUUCCUGCUGCCACCUCUCAUCUCGAUCGUCCCUCCUGUCCUCAUGUUCAUUGGCCGCUUUCCUGUACUGUGAUAGUGUGUCCUUCCACACAUUCAGAUGGACUCUUACGUUGCAGGUCGACUGCAUGAUCUCAGAAAACAUUUCAUUGUGCGUGCAU